CACGUAGGGGGCGAGCGUUGUCCGGAUUUAUUGGGCGUAAAGAGCUCGUAGGCGGCUCGGUAAGUCAGGUGUGAAAACUCUAGGCUCAACCUAGAGACGCCACCUGAUACUGCUGUGGCUAGAGUCCGGUAGGGGAGCAUGGAAUUCCUGGUGUAGCGGUGAAAUGCGCAGAUAUCAGGAGGAACACCGGUGGCGAAGGCGGGUCUCUGGGCCGUAACUGACGCUGAGGAGCGAAAGCAUGGGGAGCGAACAGG
RNAcentral lists this ribosomal RNA (254 nucleotides) under uncultured bacterium. RNAcentral's name for it is "partial 16S ribosomal RNA". It matches the Rfam family "Bacterial small subunit ribosomal RNA", at positions 524 to 776 of the family's 1533-position model. The record is from RNAcentral.